This is a non-coding RNA of Phascolarctos cinereus (koala), 1509 nucleotides long. NCBI's taxonomy places the organism in Eukaryota, Metazoa, Chordata, Mammalia, Diprotodontia, Phascolarctidae. The record is from RefSeq and is a predicted model, not a curated record.
AGAUAACUAAAAAGAUAUUAAGAGUGCCACACUUAGUUGGCCUUGAUGAACUCAAGCCAUCUGGCCCUGAUGAGUGACAUCUUCAAACACUGAAAGAAUUGUCGUACGUGAUCGCCUGUCCAGGCUCAUCGUAGACCUCUCCAUUGCCCUUUGGGUGAGCCAUAACUUCAGCCCUUUGGACAUCCUUAUGCCUUGAUUCAGCACCAGGAGAAUAAUGGUAUUUUUAAAAUGGGCCUCUGUUUCAGGAAGAAGCUUGGGAUUAUUAAAAGCACUCUGUACUUUUCCAAAGGCUUUCUCUAAAGUGCAGCCCUGGGUCCAACUGAUCCUAUGACAUUGUGACAUAAAGGAUGGGACACUGGACUUAGAGUUGAGAAGACUCGAAACCUGCCUUAGACACUUACUAGCUGCAUGACUCAUGACAAGUCUCCUAAUCUCUCUCUUCCUCAGUUGCCUCAUCUCUAAAGGGAAAGGGCAAGACUCAAUGGCCUUUGAAGUCUCUUCCAGCUUUAAAUUUAUGAUCCUAUGAUCAUUUGCAAUGUCUUCCCCAUGUAUCUAUAUUUAUCCAGAGAAAGAGAGGGAUAAGUUUGUAAGCCAUCUAUCCAACUGCAUAUCUUAAUCUGUACUAUAGAUAUUCCUCGGCCACUUGGUUUUUUCCUGUAUGAAUGGUUGGGCCAUGUGAUGAUGGAUCAUAUUUAGGAGGCUCUGCAAUGAUGUAAUCAGCACAUCAUCCAUAAAUAGGAAAAUCUGGUGGACUUUACUGUCAAUUUAGAAAACCUCUUCAAUUUGGACUCUGCCAGAUCUCUCCUGUGACAAUGACCAACACUUUUGGUGAGCCUGCAUCCUAGGGUUAGAAAUUCCUUAUAACUACUCAAGUCCCUUGUGGGGAUCCUGGGACCCAAAAUCCAUUUUAGGAGGCUCUGCCAAAGAUACCCCAGAGGAGCUGAGUGCAGUGUGAGGCUAAAACGCCCACUUCCCACCCCUUCCCCAACUCCUUUUCGGAUUGGCAUGCAAAUGAAUCUGAACAAGCACAAAAGUUAGGAGAAGAUUACAAGGUCAUUGUCUUCCAUCUUCCUGGCCCACCGCCCUGCCCUUGUCAUAUAUUUCUGUCAACUGCAAAAACCCCAAACCAAAACAAGAACACAGCCUUGGCCUUUAUGUGUCCAGUGCAGAACCUCUUGUCUCCCUAUAAAGCAGGGUGGCAGCUUUCUGGCAGGUCCCUGACGGGAAGGGGCAGCAGGGACUCAGAAGUUGGGGUAAGCAUAAUGGUGGGGAACCUAGAGUGGACUUAACACUGAUCUUACUUUCCUGUUUGAAUCAAGAGCCUUCAGUGUUCAGAGAGAAGGCUGAAAUCCAGACUUGGUUCCUCUUUUCCUUGAGGGUACAGGGAUAACUGUCCCCCAUUGGCCAGGGUGGGAGCAGUGGUAGAGGAUGUUAUAUGUUCUGCCUUACCUCAGAAAUGGUCUUGAGGGGAAGUCCUCCCAGUAAAAAUGUAUCACUGGUGCCAUCCCA